Molecule: long non-coding RNA, 306 nt
Filed under: Homo sapiens (human)
Lineage: Eukaryota; Metazoa; Chordata; Mammalia; Primates; Hominidae
Description: HSALNT0308218
Source: RNAcentral
GUUUUAUUUUUUUGAGACGGAGUCUCACUCUGUCACCCAGGCUGGAGUGCAGUGGCACGAUCUCGGCUCACUGCAACCUCCGUCUCCCGGGUUCAAGCGAUUCUCCUGCCUCAGCCUCCUGAGUAGCUGGGACUACAGGAGCACACCACCAAGCCCAGCUAAUUUUUGUAUUUUUUGUAGAGACAGGGGUCUCACUGUGUUGCCCAGACUUGUGUCCAGUUACUGAGCUCAAGUGAUCCUCCUGCCUUAGCAUCCCAACGUGCUGGGACUACAGGAAUGAGCCACCACAAGUGGCUUCCUUUCCUU